RNAcentral lists this ribosomal RNA (375 nucleotides) under uncultured eukaryote. Its description in RNAcentral is "partial 18S ribosomal RNA". It matches the Rfam family "Eukaryotic small subunit ribosomal RNA", at positions 592 to 976 of the family's 1831-position model. The record is from RNAcentral.
CAAUAGCGUAUAUUUAAGUUGUUGCAGUUAAAAAGCUCGUAGUUGGAUUUCGGUUAAGAGCGACCGGUCCGCCGUUUGGUGUGCACUGGUUGGUUUUAACUUCCUGUAGAGGACGUGCUCUGGGUUUAACGACCUGGACUCGGAGUCUACGUGGUUACUUUGAAAAAAUUAGAGUGUUCAAAGCGGGCUUACGCUUGAAUAUUUCAGCAUGGAAUAACACUAUAGGACUCCUGUCCUAUUUCGUUGGUCUCGGGACGGGAGUAAUGAUUAAGAGGAACAGUUGGGGGCAUUCGUAUUUCAUUGUCAGAGGUGAAAUUCUUGGAUUUAUGAAAGACGAACUUCUGCGAAAGCAUUUGCCAAGUAUGUUUUCAUUAA